This is a long non-coding RNA of Gorilla gorilla gorilla (western lowland gorilla), 2076 nucleotides long. RefSeq lists it as uncharacterized. The record is from RefSeq and is a predicted model, not a curated record. The transcript is spliced from 4 exons. NCBI's taxonomy places the organism in Eukaryota, Metazoa, Chordata, Mammalia, Primates, Hominidae.
AAGAAGAGAUUUAUUGCAAAGCAAAAAGUACACACUCAAGAAAGGGGAGUUCGGGCAUACCCGACAGAGAACAAUGGGUUCUGGGGUUUCAUCUUGAUUGGUUUCUCUAACCAAGGAGUGGAAUAGUCAUGAAAAUUCCUGGGUAAAGGUGGAGAUUUCUCAGAACUGUGGUGCCAUCCAUUUUUACAUCACAUAUUGGUCUCAGAACUGUCAUGGCACUGGUGGGUGUGUGACUUAGUAUGUUAAUGAGCAUAUAAUGAGGGCCUCGGUAAAACCUACAUCAAAUCCAGCACCACAUUGGGUCCAGUCAGUCUUAGCCAGCUUGGUCCACACUCCGGUUUUUCAGCGUCUUAUCAGCCCAUAGCCUCAAGUCGUGUAAAUCUGCUGCCUAUAAUUUGUUAGCCUGUGACCACCCUGUAUUAUUCCUGUCUCAAAUCUACUUGUAAAUAUUCAAAUGGUCUUUGACUUGGGCAUUCCAACUUUGCUUAUUUCACAGUGUUUCCUGCGUUAUAAUCCAAUAUAAGAAAAGAUGAUCCAGACAUUUGUUAAACAUCUCAAAUAAGAUGUAUCCCAAGUAUUUGUGUCAAAUUUGGAUUAUUUUGGUUUUGUCUUUGCAGAAUAUAAAAAACUAACAUGAGGUAAGCACUAAGGUCUGGAGAUGGCUGUGCAAGAGAUGACAAAGUCCAACACCAUGUGUCCAAUCAUCUCUUCUGGGGCAGCAUAUUUUUCUACAAUACUGAAUUUGGAAAAAAAAACCCAACAACCUCAAAAAAAAAAAAAACCUACAAGAUUCGUGAAACUGUACAACUGUCUUUAUAACAUUACCAGUGAUAAAAUCAGUAAGGAAGGCUGGUUUGCAGUCAUCUGAGCAGUCUCUUUACUUUCAUAAAUAUGGUUUCUCUCUGAUAUUAAACGGCUUCCAAUUUCAAGCGGAAUGCCACCUCCCAAGGACAAGGAUGUGAAGAGAAUUGGUUUCUUUUGUAAUCCUAAACGUUCUAGUCUGCGAAUUAAAAGCCAUUAUUUGAAGAAGGGUGCCCAGGCUCCAUCUGGCCGCCGAAAGUUUGCUCCGCAACGCAGGCUAAGGACAAGCUUCUUUGGGCGAGAACAGAUGCGGGGGCGGGAGGGAAAAAGGGAGAGGCAGACUUCAUUUUCCCUUGCCGGCUGAGACAGCGGGUUGGUCGGCUGAGCGGUAGAAAGGCAGACGGGGACUGGGAAAGGCACUGUCGGUGACAUCACGGAUAGGGCGACUUCUAUGUAGAUGAGGCAGCGCAGGGGCUGCUGCUUCCCCACCUGCUGCUUCGCCACGAAGGAGUUUCCGUGCCGUGGGAGCGGGUUCAGGACCGCUGGUCGGACCUGAGAGUCACAGCUGUGUGUCAGGGCUAGGAGGGCUCGGGGAUGCGCUGGGCAAGUGACCGUGCGUGUAAAGGGUGAGGUGUAUGAGGCUGCGGCGGGGUGGAGUUGCAGAGGCUUAUAUUUCCCUGUCAGGAGAGGUACUAUACUUACGAAAGUGGUUUUUCAGGGUGUUAUUCUUACAGUGGAAGGCUGGGGAAUAGGAAGUAACAUGUCGACUCUGCCGGAGGAGGAGAAAUAAGAACCGUCAGCUGUUGUAACACAAGAAUGUGACUGAAAUGAGGACAUUUAAAGACAUACAAAAAAUGAAAGAAUUCAGCAACCCACACUGCAAGAAAUGCAAAAGGAGUCCUCCAGGCCUAAGGAUAAGGAUACCAGACAGAAAACUGGAUCUACGUAAAGAAAUGGAGACUACUGGAAAUUGUUCCUCCCUAUUCUGCUUCAACAACAACAACAAAAAACAAUUCUCACCUCCAGAAGAUCCAGCCUGUGCCUCUGCAAGAGGCCUUCGGGAGGUCUGGAUGUCUGGUCCACCGCUCCCCGGCUUCUUUCCCUGCUUUUACUUUUCCCUUCCCCCGCUCCUGCCCUUCUGCCUCAGGAUCCGACCACCGCCCAGCUGAGCCCCUGCGGCUCCACCGCGGCAGAAAGGUGCACUGGAGGCCCUGCCCGUUGCCCGCCCCAGGGGAUGCCGAGAAAUCAACGUGAAUAAACGCUUUGAAAAAAGAA